UACGAAGGGGGCGAGCGUUGUUCGGAAUUACUGGGCGUAAAGGGCGCGUAGGCGGCCCCUUUUGUCGCGUGUGAAAGCCCCGGGCUCAACCUGGGAGGUGCGCGCGAAACGGGGGGGCUUGAGUUCGGGAGAGGAGAGUGGAAUUCCCAGUGUAGAGGUGAAAUGCGUAGAUAUCGGGAGGAACACCAGUGGCGAAGGCGACUUCCUGGCCUGUUCUUGACGCUGAGGCGCGAAAGCUAGGGGAGCAAACGGG
RNAcentral lists this ribosomal RNA (253 nucleotides) under uncultured bacterium. RNAcentral describes it as "partial 16S ribosomal RNA". It matches the Rfam family "Bacterial small subunit ribosomal RNA", at positions 524 to 776 of the family's 1533-position model. The record is from RNAcentral.